GAUGAACGCUAGCUACAGGCUUAACACAUGCAAGUCGAGGGGAAACGACAUCGAAAGCUUGCUUUUGAUGGGCGUCGACCGGCGCACGGGUGAGUAACGCGUAUCCAACCUGCCCAUCACUUGGGAAUAACCUUGCGAAAGUAAGACUAAUACCCAAUGACAUCCCACGAAGACAUCUGAAUGGGAUUAAAGAUUUAUCGGUGAUGGAUGGGGAUGCGUCUGAUUAGCUUGUUGGCGGGGUAACGGCCACCAAGGCAACGAUCAGUAGGGGUUCUGAGAGGAAGGUCCCCCACAUUGGAACUGAGACACGGUCCAAACUCCUACGGGAGGCAGCAGUGAGGAAUAUUGGUCAAUGGGCGAGAGCCUGAACCAGCCAAGUAGCGUGCAGGAUGACGGCCCUAUGGGUUGUAAACUGCUUUUAUAAGGGAAUAAAGUGGGUCUCGUGAGACUUUUUGCAUGUACCUUAUGAAUAAGAACCGGCUAAUUCCGUG
This 491-nucleotide ribosomal RNA is filed under the name uncultured bacterium. RNAcentral's name for it is "partial 16S ribosomal RNA". It matches the Rfam family "Bacterial small subunit ribosomal RNA", at positions 28 to 507 of the family's 1533-position model. The record is from RNAcentral.